RNAcentral lists this ribozyme (89 nucleotides) under unclassified sequences. Its description in RNAcentral is "pistol ribozyme". It matches the Rfam family "Pistol ribozyme". The record is from RNAcentral.
AGUCGUCAGGGCGACUAUAAACAGCCAUUAAGCCCUGUAGCGUCCACACCCCAGCAAUCAGGCUGGGGUAUAUGUAUGGUGGGGUUGGA